GUACAUUAAGUAGUGUUCCGCGCGUAUAACUAUUGUAGUACGCUUACGCACGUACGUAGCGACUGAGGGGAUCGGCCAACUGACUGAGACCGUCAGAUCUACGGGAGCAGCAGUAGGAUCUCGCAUUGGCGAAGGCUGACGAGCACGCGCUGAGUGAUGAAGGUCUUCGGAUCGUAAACUCUGUUAUCAGGAAGAACAAACGUGUAAGUACUGUGCACGUCUUGACGGUACUUGAUCAGAAAGCACGGCUAACUACGUGCAGCAGCCGCGGUAAUACGUAGGUGGCAAGCGUUAUCCGGAAUUAUUGGGCGUAAAGCGCGCGUAGGCGGUUUUUUAAGUCUGAUGUGAAAGCCCACGGCUCAACCGUGGAGGGUCAUUGGAAACUGGAAAACUUGAGUGCAGAAGAGGAAAGUGGAAUUUCCAUGUGUAGCGGUGAAAUGCGCAGAGAUAUGGAGGAACACCAGUGGCGAAGGCGACUUUCUGGUCUGUAACUGACGCUGAUGUGCGAAAGCGUGGGGAUCAAACAGGAUUAGAUACCCUGGUAGUGCACGCCGUAAACGAUGAGUGCUAAGUGUUAGGGGGUUUCCGCCCCUUAGUGCUGCAGCUAACGCAUUAAGCACUCCGCCUGGGGAGUACGACCGCAAGGUUGAAACUCAAAGGAAUUGACGGGGACCCGCACAAGCGGUGGAGCAUGUGGUUUAAUUCGAAGCAACGCGAAGAACCUUACCAAAUCUUGACAUCCUUUGACCACUCUAGAGAUAGAGUUUUCCCCUUCGGGGGACAAAGUGACAGGUGGUGCAUGGUUGUCGUCAGCUCGUGUCGUGAGAUGUUGGGUUAAGUCCCGCAACGAGCGCAACCCUUAAGCUUAGUUGCCAUCAUUAAGUUGGGCACUCUAAGUUGACUGCCGGUGACAAACCGGAGGAAGGUGGGGAUGACGUCAAAUCAUCAUGCCCCUUAUGAUUUGGGCUACACACGUGCUACAAUGGACAAUACAAAGGGCAGCUAAACCGCGAGGUCAAGCAAAUCCCAUAAAGUUGUUCUCAGUUCGGAUUGUAGUCUGCAACUCGACUACAUGAAGCUGGAAUCGCUAGUAAUCGUAGAUCAGCAUGCUACGGUGAAUACGUUCCCGGGUCUUGUACACACCGCCCGUCACACCACGAGAGUUUGUAACACCCGAAGCCGGUGGAGUAACCAUUUAUGGAGCUAGCCGUCGAAGGGACCACAGUUG
Molecule: ribosomal RNA, 1228 nt
Filed under: Staphylococcus pasteuri
Lineage: Bacteria; Bacillati; Bacillota; Bacilli; Caryophanales; Staphylococcaceae
Description: bacterial SSU rRNA
Rfam family: Bacterial small subunit ribosomal RNA
Source: RNAcentral